RNAcentral lists this ribosomal RNA (253 nucleotides) under uncultured bacterium. RNAcentral's name for it is "partial 16S ribosomal RNA". It matches the Rfam family "Bacterial small subunit ribosomal RNA", at positions 524 to 776 of the family's 1533-position model. The record is from RNAcentral.
UACGGGGGGGGCAAGCGUUGUUCGGAAUUACUGGGCGUAAAGGGCUCGUAGGCGGCCAACUAAGUCAGACGUGAAAUCCCUCGGCUUAACCGGGGAACUGCAUCUGAUACUGGAUGGCUUGAGUUCGGGAGAGGGAUGCGGAAUUCCUGGUGUAGCGGUGAAAUGCGCAGAUAUCAGGAGGAACACCGAUGGCGAAGGCAGCUCACUGGGACGGUACUGACGCUGAGGCGCGAAAGCGUGGGGAGCAAACAGG